Eriocheir sinensis (Chinese mitten crab) is the source of this 3183-nucleotide long non-coding RNA. RefSeq lists it as uncharacterized. The transcript is spliced from 7 exons. The record is from RefSeq and is a predicted model, not a curated record. NCBI's taxonomy places the organism in Eukaryota, Metazoa, Arthropoda, Malacostraca, Decapoda, Varunidae.
AUGUGUCUCAGGGGGCUGGGUAGGCCUAGGCAGCACCCCCUCGUAGGCCUAUUCUGUCAGUGGGUUUGGGAGAGUUGAAUUUUCUACCAAAACAAAUCUUGGUCUUGAUCUUGAUGUCACAGGUGGCUCGGGAUUUCUCUCAGGCCUUUAAUUGUAUCGGUCUUGGAAGUGAGGGUUUGUAACGGGGCAGGAUUGGCUGAUUCUGUUUUGUUUUGUUUCUUCUUCUUCUUCUUCUUUAUUCUUCUCUUCUUCCUCUUCUUCUUCUUCUUCUUCUUCUUCUUCUUCUUCUUAAUUCUUCUCUUCUUCUUCUUCUAAUCCUCCUCUUCCUAAUUCUUCUUCUUCUUCUUCUUCUUCUAAUCCUCCUCCUCCUCUUCCUUCUCUUCUCCUUCUUCUUCUUCUUCUUCUUCUUCUCUUUCUUUUUCUUCUCUCUCCUCCUCUUCCUUCUUCGUCUUUUUCUUCUUCUUCUAAUCCUCCUCCUCCUCUUCCUUCUCUUCUCCUUCUUCUUCUUCUUCUUCUCUUCCUCCUCCUCCUCCUCCUUAUUUUUCUUUUCUUCUUCUUCUUCUUCGUCUAAUCCUCCUCCUCGUCCUUCUCUUCAUUCCUCCUCCUCCUCUCCUCCUCCUUCUUCUCCUCCUCUUUCUUCUCCUCCUCCUCUUCUUCCUCCUCCUCCUCCUCCCUCACCGUUACAAAGCCUACACCACAGACCGAGACCUUUUACUACAAACUCAUUGCCAGAAAAUUUAAAUGUCCCAGGCCUACGAGGGAGGGGUGCCUAGGCCUACCGAGCUCCCCCCAUGGAAACACUGUUGGACAUUAGGCCGAAAGGGAGGAUUCUGGCGGACGGAGAGAUGGGGGAGGAAGGGAACGGAAGGGGUGGUAGCUUCCCCUCCCUUCACCCCCCUGCCCAUGCCCCAGGGGUCCCGCACUGCCCCUGGGUACACACACACACCCUGGCACACUGCAACACCUAACCUAACCUAACCUAAGCUAAACAUCAUCUGCAACACUAACCUAACCUAACCUAACCUAACCUAUCCUAACCUAACCUAACCUAACCUAACCUAACCUAACCUAUCCUAACCUAACCUAUCCUAACCUAACCUAACCUAACCUAACCAAGAAUUCUUUAUCAGCCUGUUCAACUCCCCGCUUACAUUCCGUUCUUGGUUGCAGGAUUCUGGCGGAAGCUGGCGGACGGGGAGAUGGGGAAGGAAGGGAACGGAUGGGGUGGUGAUGUCCACUCCCUUCACCCCCCUGCCCAUGCCCCAGGGGUCCCACACUGCCCCAUGGGGUCUGGCGGAUGCUGUCGGAAGGAAGGGAACGGAAGGGGUGGUGGUGUCCCCUCCCUACCCAUGGAUGACGGCCCUCCCUUCACCCCCCUGCCCAUGCCCCAGGGUACCCCACACAGUCCAACGCAAUGGAGCACUUCGUCAAUGGUAAAUGAUGGAUAAGGAAGAGGAGGAGAGGAAGAGGAGGAGGAGGAGGAGGGAAGACGAACAGGAAGAGGACACAAGGAAAUGCUCUAAUGACCACAGUUUUUUAAGGGGACGAUAUAUUUCAACCCAUUUCUCUAAGGUUAUAAGGCUUGCAUCUAGCUAGGGUAUAUAUAUAUGACUAAUUAUUAAGGUGUACCAUUGGGGGGCUCGGUGGGGCGUGCGAAGGGUGCGAGGGGCAUACGCUACCUCUGUAAGGGGAGACAUAUAUAUUGCAUUGACAGGAUUGGAUACAGGGACAGGAUUGGAUAGUGGGACAGGAUUGGAUAGUGGGACAGGAUAUGAUAGAGGGACAGGAUUGGGUGGAGAUACAUGAUUGGAUAGAGGGACAGGAUUGAAUGGAGAUACAGGAUUUAAUAGAGGGACAGGAUUGGAUAAAGGGACAGGUUUGGAUAGAGGGACAGGUUUGGAUAGAGGGAGAGGAUUGGAUAGAGGGACAGGAUUGGAUAGGGGGACAGGGUGCUGAACAUAUGUGGGCCGUCCCUAUAACCACCUUGUAAAUGGCCCCACGCUGGGUAAAGAGAGACAGAUUGAGGUUUUCGAGUAUAAAAUAUCUCGCUCAUGGCUAAGGUCUAAGGUCUGAUGAAUUUGCGUAGGCUGUACAAAAUGUGUGUAGUGCUAUACAAAAAAAUUCAUAUAAAAUCAUCUAUGGUAGUGAGAAGAUUAAUCAUAUACUCAUUAGAUGUAAAAUUUAACGAGGAUUCCAAAUAUGUCUCCGGAAUUGACGUGGCGAUAGAAAUUACAGAGUUAUUAACAAAUUUGGGAAGGAUACCCACCUUGAAAAUGGCCCCUCGCUGGCUAAAGAGAGACAGGUUGAGGUAUUUCGAGUACUGAAUUUCUCGCUGAUGUCUGUGUUCUGCGUUCCUGAAUCUCUGGUAUUUUAAGGUCUAAGGUCUGAUGGAUGUGUUUCCCUAUACCCACCUUGUAAACAGCCCCUCGCUGGCUAAAGAGAGACAGAUUGAGGUAUUUCGAGUACUGAAUUUCUCGCUGAUGUCUGUGUUCUGCGUUCCUGAAUCUCUGGUAUUUUAAGGUCUAAGGUCUGAUGGAUGUGCGUCCCUAUACCCACCUUGUAAAUGGCCCCUCGCUGGCUAAAGAGAGACAGAUUGAGGUUUUCGAGUACUGAAUGUCUCGCUGAUGUCUGUGUUCUGCGUUCUUGAAUCUCUGGUAUUUUAAGGUCUAAGGUCUGAUGGAUGUGUGUCCCUAUACCCACCUUGUAAAUGGCCCCUCGCUGGCUAAAGAGAGACAGAUUGAGGUUUUCGAGUACUGAAUGUCUCGCUCAUGUCUGCGUUCUGCGUUCUUGAAUCUCUGGUAUUUUAAGGUCUAAGGUCUGAUGGAUGUGCGUAGGCUGUACAAAUUGUGUGUAGUCCUAUACAAAAAAAUUCAUAUAAAAUCAUCUAUGGUAGUGAGAAGAUUAAUCAUAUACUCAUUAGAUGUAAAAUUUAAUGAGGAUUCCAAAUAUGUCUCCGGAAUUGAUGUGGCGAUGGUAAUUACAGAGUUAUUAACAAUUUAGUGAAGGGUAUCCACCUUGUAAACGGCCCCUCGCUGGCUAAAGAGAGACAGAUUAGGGAUUUUCGAGCUAGUUUUUGACAUGGUAAAUGCAUAAAAAUCACCCUUAUCAAGGCUUAUAUCCAGUGUAACGUGUCCUCAAGGCUGUGUUGAUAUGGGAAAUGUAUUAAAAUCAGUCUUAUCAAUC